UUACUACUCCCUCCGUCCGGAAAUACUUGUCCUAAAGAUGACUGUAUCUAGACUUAUUUUAGUUAUAGAUACAUUCAUUAUAUUCAUUUUAGGACAAGUAUUUCCGGACGGAGGGAGUAUUAG
This 123-nucleotide microRNA precursor is filed under the name Hordeum vulgare. RNAcentral describes it as "microRNA MIR1122". It matches the Rfam family "MIR1120/MIR1122 microRNA precursor family". Lineage: Eukaryota; Viridiplantae; Streptophyta; Magnoliopsida; Poales; Poaceae. The record is from RNAcentral.